CGUUCUUAAACGUCCGUACAUGCACGAGCACUUUUUCUUGAGAGGUUAAUAGUCCACGUCGCACCCCUCAACCAUGGCUGUCGCAGAAUAACGAAAACCAUACUCGGAGGUCAUGCUUUGCCGUUGGACAGGCGCAGGAACACACUUCAUGAGUCGCAGAUGAGUCAUAGAUGUCAUGUUUUGGGUAAUACAUACAGAUACUCGAAAUAUUUCUUUUAACAUUUUGCCCUUACCGCUGCGUUCUUCUUGCUCAUAUAUCGCAGAAAUAUGGCAUUUUCGAGUCUACUUCGUUCAAUGUGACACUUGGCACAGUUACUAAACUGACAUUUAAGGGGUAAAUGGAAAGUUGCCUUCGUGUAUGGGAAUGCGAGCUGCUUCUAAGAUGGCACUAGCACAAACUUGUGCUGCGGCCUUUCGGCAGCCGCAGAAAGCCGCUGUUCACGGAGGGUUGUCACCUGCUACCCGCUCCUCUGGAACCCGCGGCACUUUGUGGCUGCUUUCUGCAGCUGCCAUCAGGCGGCGGCACAAGUUUAUGAUAGCGCCAUUUGGGCAGCAGCUUGCAUUCCUAUAAACGAAGAUAACUGUCCCUUUUUUCCUUAAAAACAAGGAACCAAUUGUGCCAAUUUUACAUUGAACGAGGUAGACUCCGAAAUGCCAACUUUCAGCGAAAUUUGAGCAUGGACAAUGCAGCAGUAAGCGCAAAAUCUCGCACAAAAUCUUGUGCAAAAGCAUGCACAUUUUAAGCGAAAUGUGCACGUCCCUGUCUCGUCUGAUACGGCACCAUGGGCGAAACACUGAAUCUUGUCGUCACCAAUCAGAUGCUAAAAUGUGCACAAACUUGCUUAUCUUGACAGGGAAAAAAACACUAGAUGUCUGUUUGGCUUUGCUUCCAGCGUGUGCCGAGAUAUUGUGCUGAUGUUCCCGAAAAAGUGGCGCUUUGUAGUUAGCUUUACUGUCCGUAGGCGACGCGACAAUGAGCGGGUACCCAAAGCUGUUCGUCAAGCACUGCGUCUGGGAUCUAAAACAUGGGACAUAUAGGGAGUUUAGUAACUGGUGUGAUUGUAGAGCUCUGAGUGAAGCCACGCAAAUGGUUUGAAUGAGCUUUGAACAGACGUAGUGGUUGUCAUCGAACGUAUGUUCCGGUGCGGCUGCUGUUUCCAGUGUAGGGUCUGACAAAUGCAAGACAAAUGCAAGUUCCUUAUUAUAAACACGUUGCUUUCACUUUCCUGGACGCUUUCUCAUUGACUCAAGACCACUGACAUCGUGCCCAAACAUCAUGGCCGGCCAACUUCGAAGUGUUGUCAAUAGCAAUAGGAUAAAACUGGUGCCAUUAAACCACCAGUGACUCUUCAGACUGAUGACACACACGAAGAAGUGGCUCACAGCAAGCGUGAUUAUUCUAAUCAAAACGUCGGUGUCAAUCCUGAACGCACGACAUUUCUCCAAGAUAGAAUCACUCGCGGAUCGGCUCAAUAGCAUGUUCCGGCGGAGCAGUCAUGAAACGACUGGUGCAGGGGGAUGGGGCAGGGGGCGUGAUCGAACAAUGCAUCAUGUGGCAACGCACCCUUUCUCCAGACGUUUCACUAGGUGUCUGCUAGGACUGUACGGUGACCAGCACGGCUUCCGUAGACAUUGACCGCUCAGACUAAGAAACUGGCACAAUCCAACAUUCAAGCUACAGUUAUGACACUGGUGUCCUUUUCUAAUGCCUGCAUGCAGAGAUUUCCAAGUUUCCUUUUUUUAUGUAUAAAGGUUCUUCAAGUAUAAAAUUGUAUCGUUCAACAAAAGCUGUCCUCGACAUGCGCGACCUAAUCUCAAGUUCGUAGCCUAAAGUGGCGUUAGAUAGGACGUAAUUCCACGUCAAAAGAAGUAACCGUCAACCAUCUCCUAAACACCAUACUUUACAAAUGUGAUUCGUUCGCACAAUCUAAAAUUAGCACGUGAUCAUCUUAAGUUCGCAGCAGAGUGUCCCAACUAAUUUAUUCUCGCUAUUAGCCAGCCGAGUGCAUCAAAAUUAUGUGUUUGACCUUACACAAACCAUGCGCGCUUCGCGAGAUUCAGGUCUCGAGCCAAUUCGUUCCCAUUCAUACUAUUGAAAACUUUCGCUUGUCCUAUGUCUACACUAUCUUUCAAAUCCCUUUUGCCCUUAUCCUAGUACGGGGUAGCCAGUCGGACCUUACUUGCCUGACUUCUUCGGUUAUUUUUCUGUCCGCGUGCGAGGUAGUUCAGUUCUGCGGAAGCCACUCGUCCGCAUUUAUUUCAUUGCACCACUUUUGGGCGGCAACGUCACGUGCAUUCUCGCAAUCGAUACUACUUGGCGAUCACACACAAGUUUUCUCUGCCAUAAUAUGAGAACGCAAACUUCACGGAUAAACUAACAUUGAAGAACAGAGCGUUAAUAUCAUAGCCUAGGUCAACGUAAAGAUAACCUGCAUCAUCUGCACCUGUUGUGCCGCUGGAGUAUACCAUUUCCUUCAGUCUCUUGUUAAAACCCAAGCAACCGUCAAGAAAUAUUUGAAGUUUUCUUUUUUUCUAGGCGAUGAGUGUAUAUUGUUUCACUUGAAUGGGGCCAAACAAUAAGAAUAUGAAUAUGAAAAUGCUCGUGGCUGUCUCGCAGAAUCUACGACUACGCAGAUGUUUCGCUAAAUGCCUUCAAUUUUCUGGCUCAACUCGAAAAAAGAAUGGAACGGAAACAUUUCCAGGCUCGAAUUCUUUAGUCUGAUCUAACAUGAAUAGCAAAAUGCUGCGAACUUUCCUCACGUGGUUUAUCGUCGCAAGAAAAAUGUGCUAUAUAACAAUGAUCGGUUGCCUAUUACCGGCAUUGAUUAUGUUGCUACAACAAAAAUGACAUCUACAUUCAUGUGAUCAACAAAAA
Non-coding RNA from Dermacentor andersoni, 2875 nucleotides. The record is from RefSeq and is a predicted model, not a curated record. Lineage: Eukaryota; Metazoa; Arthropoda; Arachnida; Ixodida; Ixodidae.